This 821-nucleotide ribosomal RNA is filed under the name Rhizammina sp. 1 MaH-2019. RNAcentral describes it as "partial small subunit ribosomal RNA". It matches the Rfam family "Eukaryotic small subunit ribosomal RNA", at positions 1160 to 1677 of the family's 1831-position model. The record is from RNAcentral. Lineage: Eukaryota; Foraminifera; Astrorhizida; Astrorhizidae.
AAGGGCACCACAAGAACGCGUGGAGCAUGUGGCUUAAUUUGACUCAACGCGGGAAAUCUUACCGGGUCCUGACACACUGAGGAUUGACAGGCAAUCAUGUGAAAUGUUUUUAACUUUUACAUAUAAAUAUGCUAGUCCUUUCAUGAUUAUGUGAUAGGUGGUGCAUGGCCGUUCUUAGUUCGUGGAGUGAUCUGUCUGCUUAAUUGCGUUUCGCAUAGGACUUAAACUCAAGUGUGCUACUUUUCUUGUAUUCUUUUUUUUAAAGUAAUUAUUUGAAAAUAUAUAUUUUUGCGCAUUUAUUUUGUAUUUAUAAGUUUUGACAAAAGAGUGAUUAUAAAACUAGAGGGACCGCUGCGACUUUUUUAAACCAGAGGAAGGUUGCGGCAAUAACAGGUAUGUGAUGCCCUUAGAUAUUCCAGGCUGCACACGUGCUACAAUGAUUAUUGCAGUGAGCAUCUCAUUUUUAUAACACUAUAUCACUAAUCAUCCUUUUUUAAAGUUCUUUGUAUUAGUUGAGCAGUCAAGCCUGCUUCGAAAGUUCGCAGGUAAUCAAUUGGAAGUAAUGAUUUCCCUUAAUUCAAUUUUUUUUUGAUUUUGUGAGCACACAAUAUGCUGCUCCCUUCCCUGGCAGUUAGCUUUUUUGGUCUUUCUGUCUUACAGUGAGUUGGGAUGUUUUUCAGCAUGUGCUUUUUGUCAAUUCAUGGUGGGGACAGACCAUUGUUAAUUGUUGGUCUCGGUCUUAACUAGGAAUGCCUUGUACUGGUCUUUGGUUCAACAAACCACCCGGAAUACGUCCCUGCCCUUUGUACACACCGCCCGUC